This 74-nucleotide transfer RNA is filed under the name Planctomycetaceae bacterium. RNAcentral's name for it is "tRNA-Val". It matches the Rfam family "tRNA". From Rfam's summary of the family: Transfer RNA (tRNA) molecules are approximately 80 nucleotides in length. RNAcentral also lists the same sequence under 3 other names. Lineage: Bacteria; Pseudomonadati; Planctomycetota; Planctomycetia; Planctomycetales; Planctomycetaceae. The record is from RNAcentral.
GGGCGGUUAGCUCAGUUGGCUAGAGCGCCACGUUGACAUCGUGGAGGUCGCUGGUUCAAGUCCAGUACCGCCCA